CCUACGGGAGGCAGCAGUGGGGAAUUUUGGACAAUGGGCGAAAGCCUGAUCCAGCCAUUCCGCGUGAGUGAAGAAGGCCUUCGGGUUGUAAAGCUCUUUCGCAAGGGAAGAAAACUUAGAUACUAAUAUUAUCUGAGGUUGACGGUACCUUGAUAAGAAGCACCGGCUAACUACGUGCCAGCAGCCGCGGUAAUACGUAGGGUGCGAGCGUUAAUCGGAAUUACUGGGCGUAAAGCGUGCGCAGGCGGUUUUGUAAGUCAGAUGUGAAAUCCCCGAGCUCAACUUGGGAACUGCGUUUGAAACUACAAGACUAGAAUAUGUCAGAGGGGGGUAGAAUUCCACGUGUAGCAGUGAAAUGCGUAGAGAUGUGGAGGAAUACCAAUGGCGAAGGCAGCCCCCUGGGAUAAUAUUGACGCUCAUGCACGAAAGCGUGGGGAGCAAACAGGAUUAGAUACCCUGGUAGUCCACGCCCUAAACGAUGUCUACUAGUUGUUGGUGGAGUAAAAUCCAUGAGUAACGCAGCUAACGCGUGAAGUAGACCGCCUGGGGAGUACGGUCGCAAGAUUAAAACCUUAAAGAUAGUACGGAGNGAGAGAGCGACGACGACGACGACGGAGGAGGAGG
This 624-nucleotide ribosomal RNA is filed under the name uncultured bacterium. RNAcentral describes it as "bacterial SSU rRNA". It matches the Rfam family "Bacterial small subunit ribosomal RNA", at positions 338 to 956 of the family's 1533-position model. The record is from RNAcentral.